RNAcentral lists this ribosomal RNA (1452 nucleotides) under Staphylococcus saprophyticus. RNAcentral's name for it is "bacterial SSU rRNA". It matches the Rfam family "Bacterial small subunit ribosomal RNA". The record is from RNAcentral. Lineage: Bacteria; Bacillati; Bacillota; Bacilli; Caryophanales; Staphylococcaceae.
GGCGUGCCUAAUACAUGCAAGUCGAGCGAACAGAUAAGGAGCUUGCUCCUUUGACGUUAGCGGCGGACGGGUGAGUAACACGUGGGUAACCUACCUAUAAGACUGGGAUAACUUCGGGAAACCGGAGCUAAUACCGGAUAACAUUUGGAACCGCAUGGUUCUAAAGUGAAAGAUGGUUUUGCUAUCACUUAUAGAUGGACCCGCGCCGUAUUAGCUAGUUGGUAAGGUAACGGCUUACCAAGGCGACGAUACGUAGCCGACCUGAGAGGGUGAUCGGCCACACUGGAACUGAGACACGGUCCAGACUCCUACGGGAGGCAGCAGUAGGGAAUCUUCCGCAAUGGGCGAAAGCCUGACGGAGCAACGCCGCGUGAGUGAUGAAGGGUUUCGGCUCGUAAAACUCUGUUAUUAGGGAAGAACAAAUGUGUAAGUAACUGUGCACGUCUUGACGGUACCUAAUCAGAAAGCCACGGCUAACUACGUGCCAGCAGCCGCGGUAAUACGUAGGUGGAAGCGUUAUCCGGAAUUAUUGGGCGUAAAGCGCGCGUAGGCGGUUUCUUAAGUCUGAUGUGAAAGCCCACGGCUCAACCGUGGAGGGUCAUUGGAAACUGGGAAACUUGAGUGCAGAAGAGGAAAGUGGAAUUCCAUGUGUAGCGGUGAAAUGCGCAGAGAUAUGGAGGAACACCAGUGGCGAAGGCGACUUUCUGGUCUGUAACUGACGCUGAUGUGCGAAAGCGUGGGGAUCAAACAGGAUUAGAUACCCUGGUAGUCCACGCCGUAAACGAUGAGUGCUAAGUGUUAGGGGGUUUCCGCCCCUUAGUGCUGCAGCUAACGCAUUAAGCACUCCGCCUGGGGAGUACGACCGCAAGGUUGAAACUCAAAGGAAUUGACGGGGACCCGCACAAGCGGUGGAGCAUGUGGUUUAAUUCGAAGCAACGCGAAGAACCUUACCAAAUCUUGACAUCCUUUGAAAACUCUAGAGAUAGAGCUUUCCCCUUCGGGGGACAAAGUGACAGGUGGUGCAUGGUUGUCGUCAGCUCGUGUCGUGAGAUGUUGGGUUAAGUCCCGCAACGAGCGCAACCCUUAAGCUUAGUUGCCAUCAUUAAGUUGGGCACUCUAGGUUGACUGCCGGUGACAAACCGGAGGAAGGUGGGGAUGACGUCAAAUCAUCAUGCCCCUUAUGAUUUGGGCUACACACGUGCUACAAUGGACAAUACAAAGGGCAGCUAAACCGCGAGGUCAUGCAAAUCCCAUAAAGUUGUUCUCAGUUCGGAUUGUAGUCUGCAACUCGACUACAUGAAGCUGGAAUCGCUAGUAAUCGUAGAUCAGCAUGCUACGGUGAAUACGUUCCCGGGUCUUGUACACACCGCCCGUCACACCACGAGAGUUUGUAACACCCGAAGCCGGUGGAGUAACCAUUUAUGGAGCUAGCCGUCGAAGGUGGGACAAAUG